Molecule: ribosomal RNA, 383 nt
Filed under: uncultured eukaryote
Lineage: Eukaryota
Description: partial 18S ribosomal RNA
Rfam family: Eukaryotic small subunit ribosomal RNA
Source: RNAcentral
CAAUAGCGUAUAUUAAAGUUGUUGCGGUUAAAAAGCUCGUAGUUGGAUCUCGGCAGGCAGGGGGUGGUUCGCUCUUAGCGCUACUGCCCCAUUUGCCUGUGUGAUUGGCGGAGGUUUCGGGGUGCUCUUCGUUGAGUGACCCGGGGCGCCGUCAGGUUUACUUUGAAAAAAUUAGAGUGCUCAAAGCAGGCUUUUCACGCUUGAAUAUUCGUGCAUGGAAUAAUGGAAUAGGAACCCGUUUCUAUUUUGUUGGUUUUCGGAAAUCGAGUUAAUGAUUAAUAGGGACAAUUGGGGGCAUUAGUAUUCAGACGACAGAGGUGAAAUUCUUGGACCGUCUGAAGACUAACUACUGCGAAAGCACUUGCCAAGAGUGUUUUCAUUAA